CGGGAUGUGGCGCAGUGGUAGCGCACUCGUCUGGGGGGCGAGUGGUCGCUGGUUCAAAUCCAGUCAUCCCGA
Molecule: transfer RNA, 72 nt
Filed under: Spirochaetaceae bacterium
Lineage: Bacteria; Pseudomonadati; Spirochaetota; Spirochaetia; Spirochaetales; Spirochaetaceae
Also listed under: 2 other names
Description: tRNA-Pro
Rfam family: tRNA
About the family: Transfer RNA (tRNA) molecules are approximately 80 nucleotides in length.
Source: RNAcentral